This 242-nucleotide unclassified non-coding RNA is filed under the name uncultured fungus. Its description in RNAcentral is "sequence contains ITS1". Lineage: Eukaryota; Fungi. The record is from RNAcentral.
UAUUAUAUUAAAGGCCUUGCGGCACAAAGCACGUUCAGCAUUUGUUAACAGCGUAUAAUGAUUUAAGGGAAUACAAGAAAAUCACCACAAAGUGGCAAAUCAACUCAGAACUCCCUCAAAAUGUGCACAGGUGUUUGGAAGAUGAUUGUGUUAGGGCAAGCACAUGCAUCCAAAUUUUGGCUGCCAGCAUCAAACCCCAUCACAACUCAUUAAUGAUCCUUCCGCAGGUUCACCUACGGAAA